This 338-nucleotide ribosomal RNA is filed under the name uncultured bacterium. RNAcentral describes it as "bacterial SSU rRNA". It matches the Rfam family "Bacterial small subunit ribosomal RNA", at positions 28 to 359 of the family's 1533-position model. The record is from RNAcentral.
GAUGAACGCUAGCGGCAGGCUUAAUACAUGCAAGUCGUGGGGCAGCAGGUUUGUAGCAAUACAGAUGCUGGCGACCGGCAAACGGGUGCGGAACACGUACAGAACCUUCCUUUGAGCGGGGAAUAGCCCAGAGAAAUUUGGAUUAAUACCCCAUAGUAUAAUGAAGUGGCAUCACUUUAUUAUUAAAGAUUUAUCACUCGAAGAUGGCUGUGCGGCUGAUUAGGUAGUUGGCGGGGUAAAGGCCCACCAAGCCUGCGAUCAGUAACUGGUGUGAGAGCACGACCAGUCACACGGGCACUGAGACACGGGCCCGACUCCUACGGGAGGCAGCAGUAAGG